This 498-nucleotide ribosomal RNA is filed under the name Triticum aestivum (bread wheat). Its description in RNAcentral is "partial small subunit ribosomal RNA". The record is from RNAcentral. Lineage: Eukaryota; Viridiplantae; Streptophyta; Magnoliopsida; Poales; Poaceae.
AUGGGCCGGAUCCCAUGCUGCGAGAAGGAGAACGUGAAGCGCGGGCAGUGGACGGACGAGGAGGAGGACAAGCUGCUCUCCUACAUCAUGCAGUACGGCGCGCGCAACUGGCGUCUCAUCCCCAAGAACGCCGGGCUGCAGCGGUGCUGGAGGAGCUGCCGGCUGCGGUGGGCCAACUACCUGCGGCUCAAGCUCAAGCACGGCGAGAUCACUGACGCCGAGGAGCAGUGCAUCAUCAAGCUGCACUCCGUACUGAGCGACAGGUGGGCGGUGAUCGCGGCCCAGCUGCCGGGGCGGACGAGCUGGGACGUCAAGAACCACUGGAACAUCAAGCUCAAGAAGAAGCUGUCCGGGAUGGAGACACCCCGUGGGGCAGCGGCGUUGCAGGAGCAGCAGCGGCGGACCCUAGUUUUUUUUUUUAACGAAAGCGCGGCCUCUAAUCUCCGACGGAACCGACGAGGUGCAGGAGGUAGCACAUCCGGUGCAACAACAGCCUGA